RNAcentral lists this ribosomal RNA (382 nucleotides) under uncultured eukaryote. Its description in RNAcentral is "SSU rRNA". It matches the Rfam family "Eukaryotic small subunit ribosomal RNA", at positions 567 to 990 of the family's 1831-position model. The record is from RNAcentral.
CCAGCAGCUGCGGUAAUUCCAGCUCCAAUAGCGUAUAUUAAAGUUGUUGCAGUUAAAACGCUCGUAGUCUGAUGUAAUGGGGACUGGUGUGGGGAGCAGCAAUGCUCUUUGCUUCGGUCCUCAUCAACGGGACAGCAAUGUCCCAUUUUACUUUGAGGAAAUUAGAGUGUUCAAAGCAGGCGAUUGCUUGAAUACUGCAGCAUGGAAUAAUGGAAUAGGACUCGCGUCUUAUUUUGUUGGUUUGGAGAUGUGAGUAAUGAUUAAUAGGGAUAGUUGGGGGCAUUCGUAUUUAAUUGUCAGAGGUGAAAUUCUUGGAUUUAUGAAAGACGAACAUCUGCGAAAGCAUUUGCCAAGGAUGGUUUCAUUGAUCAAGAACGAAAGU